This 1840-nucleotide long non-coding RNA is filed under the name Homo sapiens (human). RNAcentral's name for it is "HSALNT0352049". Lineage: Eukaryota; Metazoa; Chordata; Mammalia; Primates; Hominidae. The record is from RNAcentral.
UUUUAUGGGAAGAUAUUUCCUUUUUCACCAUAGGCCUCAAAGGGCUCCAAGUUUCCACUUACAGAUUCUACAAAAAGAGUGUUUCAAAACUGCUCUAGGAAAACGAAUGUUCAACUCUGUGAGUUGAAUGCAAGCAUCACAAAGUAGUUUCUGACAAUGCUUCUGUCUAGUUUUUAUGUGAAGAGAUACCUGUUUCCAACGAAGGCCUCAAAGCUGUCCAAAUAUCCACUUGCAAAUACUACAACAAAAGUGUUUCCAAUCUGCUCUAUCAAAAGAAAGAUUCAACUCUGUGAGUUGAAUGCACACAUCACAAAGAAUUUUCUGAGAAUGCUUCUGUAUAGUUUUUAAUUGAAGAUAUUCCUGUUUCCAGUGAAAUCCUCAAAGCUAUCCAAAUAUCCACUUUCAGAUUCUACAAAAAGAGUGUUUCAAAACUCCUGUCUCAAAAGAAAUGUUCAACUCUGUGAGUUGAGUGCACACAUCACAAAGAAGUUUCUGGGAAUGCUUCUGUCUAAUUUUUAUAUGAAGAUGUUUCCUUUUUCACCAUAAGGCACAAAUCGCUCCAAUUGUCCACUUCCAGAUACGACAAAAAGAGUGUUUCAAAACUGCUCCAUGAAAAGGAAUGUUCAUCUCUGUGAGUUGAAUGCAAACAUCACAAAGAAGUUUCUGAGAAUGCUUCUCUCUAGUUUUUAUGUGAAGAUAUUCCCGCUUCCAAUGAAAUACCCAAAGCUAUCCAAUUAUCCAUUUUGAGUUUCUCCAAAAAGAGUGUUUCAAAACUGCUGUAUUAAGGAAAGGUUCAACUCUCUUUGUUGAGUACACACAUCAUAAAGAAAUUUCUGAGAAUGCUUCUGUCUAGUUUUUAUGUGAAGAUAUUUCCUUUUUCACCAUAGACCUCAAAGCGCUCAAAAUGUACACUUCCAGAUACUACAAAAAGAGUGUUUCAAAACUGUUCUAUGAAAAGGAAUGUUCAACACUGUGAGUUGAUUGCGAGCGUCACAAAGAAGUUUCUGACAAUGCUUCUGUCUAGUUUUUCUGUGAAGAUAUUCCCGUUGCCAACAAAAGCCUCAUAGCUAUCCGAAUAUCCACUUGCAGAUUCUACAAAAAGAGUGUUUCAAAACUGCUGUAUCAAAAAAAAUGUUCAACUAUGUAAGUUGAGUACACACAUCACGAAGCAGUUUCUGAGAAUACUUCUGUCUAGUUUUCUGUGAAGAUAUUUCCUUUUUAACCAAAGGCCUCAAAGCGCUGCAAAUCUCUACUUUCAGAUACUACAAAAAGAGUGUUUCAAAACUGCUCUAUGAAAGGGAAUGUUCAUCUCUGUGAGUUGAAUGCAAAUAUCACAAAUUAGUUUCUUAGAAUGUUUCUGUCUCGUUUUUAUGUGAAGAUAUUCCCACUUCCAAGGAAAUACUCAAAGCGAUCCAUAUACCCACUUGCAAACCCUACAAAAAGAGUGUUUCAAAACUGCUCUUUCAAAAGAAAAGUUCAACCCUAUAAAGUUGAGUACACACAUCACAAAGAAGUUUCUGAGAAUUCUUCUGUCUAUUUUUGUGUGAAGAUAUUUCUUUCCCACCAUACUCCUCAAAGCUCUCCAAAUGUCCACUUUCAGAUUCCACAAAAAGGGAGUUUCAAAACUGCUCUGUCAAAAGAAAGGUUCAACUCUGUGAGUUGAGUGCACACAUCACAAACAAGCUUAUGAGAAUGCUUCUGACUAGUUUUUAUUUUAAGAUAUUUCCUUUUUCACCAUAGGCCUCAAAGCACACCAAAUGUCCACUUGCAGAUUCUACAAAGACAGUGUUUCAAAACUGCUGUAUCAAAGGAGCGGCUCAACUCUGUGAGUUGAAGGCAC